This 29-nucleotide non-coding RNA is filed under the name Mus musculus (house mouse). Lineage: Eukaryota; Metazoa; Chordata; Mammalia; Rodentia; Muridae. The record is from RNAcentral.
UGCCUCUGGAUAUCUGUCCUUCAGUGUGU